GCAAGGGAUAAUAGACUGCCUUUCCGCAGCAAUACGUGGUCAACUGAACAGCCCGCAACAGAGUGGACUUUCACAGAAGAUUUGGGUGUUUUGAACGCAGGGUCUUCUCUGGUUGGUUGUGAAGAUCUAAGUAAACAAAGCUGUUACUGUGGCAUAAUUGACCUUUGGAUCUGAAAAGUGGCGGCAGAGUCUUACUGAAAUAAGAAGCCUCCGGAACCAUCCAAAAUAUCCUAUAUACAGAGGGGAGUUCAAAUUACACCUUGAAUGCUGAUUUAUUAGAGUGAAAAGAUCCAAAGACUGACAGACUGAAAACAUUGCUCAGCAGUUCAAAAAGGGAGUAGUCAAGAAGUCAAAGACCAUGAGUUACAGCUGUGGCAAGCGACGCUAUAAACCUAAAACACGGACCACGUAAAAUGGGGACUAUGUUUGGCAUUAUGGUCCCUGAACAGCUGUGACUGCCCUCAAAAAACAUUUUUGCCCGAACCUGUGUCUUUGUAAUCCUAUUGGCCAUCCAUCUCCUGUGAUCAUUUUUUCUUAUUUUGAGCCCUAACCUCUUUCGUUUCCCACCUUGAUCAAAACAAAUCCAGUUUUUACUCCAAAAUGGCCUGCAGUUUCAGCAUAACUUGUGCUUUUCCACCCUCCUUUCUCAUCCUCUCUCUUCCUAUUUUUCUCCUUCUCCAUGUACCUUCUUUUGUGAGGGGUGACUGCUGGCUAAUUGAGGGGGA
Molecule: long non-coding RNA, 725 nt
Organism: Sinocyclocheilus rhinocerous
Lineage: Eukaryota; Metazoa; Chordata; Actinopteri; Cypriniformes; Cyprinidae
Exons: 3
Source: RefSeq, a predicted model, not a curated record